AUGAUGAGGUCUGGCCGUCGUCACCCACGACCGCGCUCUCGCAUCUCUCCAGCUUCAAGUAGUGUCCUCCUCAGCUGCAGGUCGUGUUCUCCUCCAGCUGCUAUGGUGCACAUUCAAGGCAGCAAGCACGCCACAGGUCGCAGCGCCGCCGUCGACCACAUGCGCGCAUGCGUGCGAUUGAUGCGUGUGUGCUUUAGUUUAAUUCGUAUGCAUCGUCCCGACAACGCAUCACGCAGCCACCGACCUCCUCUGCUUGGGCCACACCACCACCGGCCGGUCCACAAUGGUUGCUGGCAGCUGUCCAAGUUGAGAGCUGAUGAGGGAAGCAUCACUGGUUGGGAUAGUUCAAAAAAUAGAACUAGCAAGUUCUUGGCAAGAGCUUUAGCUGAACAGUUUUAUGAACUUGCGCAUGACCAUGAAGUAGAAGAAAGCAUAACAUCAGUCCAACUGGUGGACGUGGAGGUGAUUUUUGUAUCUAAAAAAGCAAAACAUCAGUCCAGCUGGUGGACGUGGAGAACAUCCUUUACUUGUUUUCUGCUGCGCGCCGUCCCAGCCUCCCUCCGCCGCCGCGCACCGCCAUCCCCGCCCUGUGCCGCCACCCCAAGCCCCUCCGCCGUGCGCCGCCACUCCGAGCCCCGCCGCCUUGCGCCUGUCACCCCUCGCCUUGCGCAACAUCCUACCGACCGGACCAGCCGCCGGCCGAAUCCAGCCUCACACCUGAGCAUCGUCUUCUUCCUCGCCGAGACACACGACAACCACCCUAGUUCGACCGUAUUGGUAGUCUUCGCCGGUCAAUUUUCGUCCCACCUCCCUGUAACGAAUCUGGUCACCCCGCUCGAUCUGGAUCACCCCGCUCGAUCUGGAUCUCGUCGGCGGCGGCUCCUCCCCACGCACCGACGCAUCCCCAGAGCCCUCCCCACCUCCUCCCAGAACCGGCGACUUCGCCUCCCGCCGUGGCCCCCUCUCUUCCCCUCCCCUCGUCGCAGAUCGAGCGACAACCGCGGUGUGGGCGGGCGACGCCAACGCGCUGCUCCUGCUCGGCCACCCGGGCCCGUCCAUCGCCUGCUCGCCUCCCGCAGCGUCUUCUCCGAGCACACAACCGACGGUGGCCGGAGGCUGUACACGCUUGUGCUGUCGUGGCCGCGGCUCCACAAGGCCGUGCGCGACCCAGCCAGCGCCAAGCCCUUCGCGCGCGCCCACGCCUAA
RNAcentral lists this ribosomal RNA (1206 nucleotides) under Triticum aestivum (bread wheat). Its description in RNAcentral is "partial small subunit ribosomal RNA". Lineage: Eukaryota; Viridiplantae; Streptophyta; Magnoliopsida; Poales; Poaceae. The record is from RNAcentral.